GGUAAAAUGGCCGAGUUUAAGCAGUAAACUGUAAAUUUACUAACGAAAUAAUUAUUUCUUUUACCA
This 66-nucleotide transfer RNA is filed under the name Monochamus alternatus (Japanese pine sawyer). RNAcentral's name for it is "tRNA-Tyr". The record is from RNAcentral. Lineage: Eukaryota; Metazoa; Arthropoda; Insecta; Coleoptera; Cerambycidae. RNAcentral also lists the same sequence under 4 other names.